CGUGUAGGCGGAUCGGUAAGUUGGCUGUGAAAGCUCCUGGCUUAACUAGGAGAGGUCGGUCAAUACUGUCGGUCUAGAGUAUGUGAGAGGGAAGUGGAAUUCCGGGUGUAGUGGUGAAAUGCGUAGAUAUCCGGAGGAACACCAGAGGCGAAAGCGGCUUCCUGGCACAUAACUGACGCUCAGACGCGAAAGCUAGGGGAGCGAACG
This 207-nucleotide ribosomal RNA is filed under the name uncultured bacterium. RNAcentral describes it as "partial 16S ribosomal RNA". It matches the Rfam family "Bacterial small subunit ribosomal RNA", at positions 568 to 774 of the family's 1533-position model. The record is from RNAcentral.